RNAcentral lists this transfer RNA (74 nucleotides) under Otolemur garnettii (small-eared galago). It matches the Rfam family "tRNA". From Rfam's summary of the family: Transfer RNA (tRNA) molecules are approximately 80 nucleotides in length. Their secondary structure includes four short double-helical elements and three loops (D, anti-codon, and T loops). The record is from Rfam by way of RNAcentral. Lineage: Eukaryota; Metazoa; Chordata; Mammalia; Primates; Galagidae.
GGCACCGUGGCUCAAAGGAGUAGGGCGCCAGCCUCAUAUGCCGGAGGAGGCAGGUUCAAACCCAGCCCCGGCCA